Molecule: ribosomal RNA, 272 nt
Filed under: Rhodosorus marinus
Lineage: Eukaryota; Rhodophyta; Stylonematophyceae; Stylonematales; Stylonemataceae
Description: partial Eukaryotic small subunit ribosomal RNA
Rfam family: Eukaryotic small subunit ribosomal RNA
Source: RNAcentral
GAAACUGCGAAUGGCUCAUUAAAUCAGUUAUGGUUUAUUUGAUGGUACCUACUACUUGGAUAACCGUAGUAAUUCUAGAGCUAAUACAUGCAGGCAGUCCCGACUCCGGAAGGGAUGUAUUUAUUAGAUAAGAAACCAACUCGCUUUGCGGUUGAGUGCUGAGUCAUACUAACUUUUCGAAUCGCAUGGCUUUAUGCCGGCGAUGGUUCAUUCAAAUUUCUGCCCUAUCAGCUUUCGAUGGUAGGAUAGAGGCCUACCAUGGCGUUAACGGG